UACAGAGGUCUCAAGCGUUGUUCGGAUUCAUUGGGCGUAAAGGGUGCGUAGGUGGCGCUGUAAGUCGGGUGUGAAAUUUCGGAGCUUAACUCCGAAACUGCAUUCGAUACUGCGGUGCUUGAGGACUGGAGAGGAGACUGGAAUUCAUGGUGUAGCAGUGAAAUGCGUAGAGAUCAUGAGGAAGACCAGUGGCGAAGGCGGGUCUCUGGGCCACUACUGACGCUGAGAAGCGAAAGCGUGGGGAGCGAACAGG
RNAcentral lists this ribosomal RNA (253 nucleotides) under uncultured bacterium. Its description in RNAcentral is "partial 16S ribosomal RNA". It matches the Rfam family "Bacterial small subunit ribosomal RNA", at positions 524 to 776 of the family's 1533-position model. The record is from RNAcentral.